Molecule: long non-coding RNA, 653 nt
Filed under: Junco hyemalis (dark-eyed junco)
Lineage: Eukaryota; Metazoa; Chordata; Aves; Passeriformes; Passerellidae
Description: lncRNA (ENSJHYG00000009314.1)
Source: RNAcentral
CAGAAAGAAGCAUUUUCUUUCACCUUUUGUGCAAAGGGUUGCUUUAUCCAUGUGUCAGAAAGGGUUCUGGCUGUCUUGCAGGAGCCAAGCAAACACACCUUGCUGGCCAUUUGCAGGGGCUGGAGGCAGCAUCACUGCGCCCUGAGGGGAUCCACAGCACAGUCGUCUGCCAUAACCACUUACUUCCUUGGAGAAAAUGGGCUGAAAACGCAGCAGUCCCUGCCUGGAGGAAACCCUUCUCCCUGUGCUGCAUCUGGAGGCAUUGUGAGAACCUUGGAGCAUGCAGGCCUUUGGACAUCCCAGCAUUGGAGAAUUUUGUGUCCAAAAUUCCUGGUCUAUUUUUGAAAUAUGGCCAUGAUGUGAGUGUGAUUUGUGGGAGGGAGAACUUACCCAGAACUCAGCACUUCUGGAGGUCUCAGAUGAGAACACAUCCCUCAAUGAUUCUGCUACAGAUAACGGCUGCUGGGCAGUCUGUGAGCUCAUCCAGAGCAGGACUUGGCUCAGCCUUCCCCACAUUUGCCUUGAAUGCAACAUCCAAGCAUGAUCAUAGCUGGAGCUUCCCCUCAUCAAAGCAGAAAAUAAGCAGAAGGACCAACCACCUGCCACUCACUUGGUCACCUCAACAAGGCCAGGCUGGGGCUGAGAAUCAAUAG